This 540-nucleotide ribosomal RNA is filed under the name Kerophora ferruginea. Its description in RNAcentral is "partial 16S ribosomal RNA". The stretch from base 397 to 540 matches the Rfam family "Bacterial large subunit ribosomal RNA", at positions 2473 to 2616 of the family's 2925-position model. Lineage: Eukaryota; Metazoa; Arthropoda; Insecta; Diptera; Phoridae. The record is from RNAcentral.
AUCAAAAACAUGUCUUUUUGAAAUUAAUUUAAAGUCUAACCUGCCCACUGAAAUUUUAAAUGGCCGCAGUAUUCUAACUGUGCAAAGGUAGCAUAAUCAUUAGUCUUUUAAUUAAAGGCUAGAAUGAAUGGUUGGAUGAAAUAUUAACUGUUUCAAAUAAAUUUAAAAUAUAAUUUUAUUUUUUAGUUAAAAAGCUAAAAUAUAAUUAAAAGACGAGAAGACCCUAUAAAUCUUUAUAUUUAAAUUAUUUUAAUUAUUUAGAUAAAUUAAAUUAUGAUUAUUUUAAAUAUUUUAUUGGGGUGAUAUUAAAAUUUAAUAAACUUUUAAUUUAUAGUUAACAUAAAUUAAUGAAUUAUUGAUCCAUUAUUAAUGAUUAAAAAUUUAAGUUACUUUAGGGAUAACAGCGUAAUUUUUUUAGAGAGUUCAUAUUGAUAAAAAAGAUUGCGACCUCGAUGUUGGAUUAAGAUAUAAAUUUAGGUGCAGUAGUUUAAAUUUUAAGUCUGUUCGACUUUUAAAUUCUUACAUGAUCUGAGUUCAAAC